UNUGCUGUGAAAGGCCGGGGCUUAANUCCGGUUUUGCAGUGGGUACGGGCUAACUAGAGUGCAGUAGGGGAGACUGGAAUUCCUGGUGUAGCGGUGGAAUGCACAGAUAUCUGGAGGAACACCGAUGGCGAAGGCAGGUCUCUGGGCUGUAACUGACGCUGAGAAGCAAAAGCAUGGGGAGCGAACAGGAUUAGAUACCCUGGUAGUCCAUGCCGUAAACGUUGGGCACUAGGUGUGGGGGACAUUCCACGUUUUCCGCGCCGUAGCUAACACAUUAAGUGCCCCGCCUGGGGAGUACGGCCGCAAGGCUAAAACUCAAAGGAAUUGACGGGGGCCCGCACAAGCGGCGGAGCAUGCGGAUUAAUUCGAUGCAACGCGAAGAACCUUACCAAGGCUUGACAUGCAUUAGAUCGCGUCAGAGAUGGCGUUUCCCUUCGGGGCUGGUGUACAGGUGGUGCAUGGUUGUCGUCAGCUCGUGUCGUGAGAUGUUGGGUUAAGUCCCGCAACAAGCGCAACCCUCGUUCUAUGUUGCCAGCGGUUCGGCCGGGGACUCAUAGGAGAUUGCCGGGGUCAACUCGGAGGAAGGUGGGGAUGACGUCAAAUCAUCAUGCCCCUUAUGUCUUGGGCUUCACGCAUGCUACAAUGGCCGGUACAGAGGGUUGCGAUACUGUGAGGUGGAGCUAAUCCCUUAAAGCCGGUCUCAGUUCGGAUUGGGGUCUGCA
This 722-nucleotide ribosomal RNA is filed under the name uncultured bacterium. RNAcentral's name for it is "bacterial SSU rRNA". It matches the Rfam family "Bacterial small subunit ribosomal RNA", at positions 588 to 1309 of the family's 1533-position model. The record is from RNAcentral.